This 806-nucleotide transfer RNA is filed under the name Bradyrhizobium sp. SR94. RNAcentral's name for it is "partial miscellaneous RNA". The stretch from base 115 to 188 matches the Rfam family "tRNA". The record is from RNAcentral. Lineage: Bacteria; Pseudomonadati; Pseudomonadota; Alphaproteobacteria; Hyphomicrobiales; Nitrobacteraceae.
CGUUGAGCUGCAUUGGCGGGAUUUCGCCGUCUUCGUUUCUCUUUCUUCGCGGACGAACACGCGCUGGGCCUGCAUCAAGCAGGAUCCCACGGUCCCUGACGGGAUAUGCGUUAGGGGCUUGUAGCUCAGUUGGUUAGAGCGCGCGCUUGAUAAGCGUGAGGUCGGAAGUUCAAGUCUUCCCAGGCCCACCACUUUCAUCGAGUGAGCAUUCGUCUUCUGGUUACGGGGCCAUAGCUCAGCUGGGAGAGCGCGUGCUUUGCAAGCAUGAGGUCGUCGGUUCGAUCCCGUCUGGCUCCACCACGCUUCGCCUUUCAGGCUUCGCGUGGCGCAGCCAAGCACGGUCGAAGCGUGCCCGGCGUAGCUCACUUGAGCGUAGACGGGCUGGUUGAGAUCAGCCCGUAACCAUCACCGUCCGCGAAACAUCACUUCGCAUCCUGCUAGUCUGGAUAGACAGCAAGAUGCGUGUUUUCUGACAUCGUAAAGAGGAGAUCGAUCCGAGUUGGGUCGUGCAGCAGAUUGUUGCGCGAAUCCUUCAUUAUCUCCGGAUCAUUUUCGGCGCUCGCUUUCAGCCGUGAGGUUGAAUGCGAGUUGUAAAAUGAUCCUUUUAGCGAAGCUUGACCGCCUCGCUAUCGGAACGAUCUUACGAAGCAAGCUGGUCUUUCUAGUCAAUGUCCGGCUGCACGUAGCAUUCAUCGAGGGUGCGCGCCGUAAGGCAAUCGUGCAGACAACAUUCUGCCGAGUGUGUGGACAUUGAUAAUGAGAGCAAUCAAGUGCCUUAAGGGUGUUCGGUGGAUGCCUUGGCGCUG